RNAcentral lists this small nuclear RNA (305 nucleotides) under Sorex araneus (European shrew). RNAcentral describes it as "7SK RNA (ENSSARG00000019249.1)". It matches the Rfam family "7SK RNA". From Rfam's summary of the family: 7SK was discovered as an abundant small nuclear RNA in the mid-70s but a possible function has only recently been suggested. Two independent studies have found that 7SK RNA binds the CDK9/cyclin T complex (known as elongation factor P-TEFb). The record is from RNAcentral. Lineage: Eukaryota; Metazoa; Chordata; Mammalia; Eulipotyphla; Soricidae.
GAAACUGGAUUUAUCUGGCUGGGACAUCCAUCAAGCUACUGAUCGGCAAAGUUGAUCAGUUUUAUCUGGCUGAAUAAACUGGUUUCCCUUUCAUCCCUCAGGGCUACACGUGCAUCUUUCCUGAAAUUGUAUGCUGGACUGAAGAAGACCACCUUCCCCAAAUAGAAACCAACCAUAGACUGUUCUAUGAUCAAAGGUAUACAAGUAGCUACAACUACUGCUAGAAUCUCUAGAUGACCUUUCAAUGUAGUUGUGAAUCUAAAAUUGCUCCCAAAUAAAGAUUUUAGUAAGAAACAAAGUUUUUU